AUCCUUUUGUAGUUCAUAAGCAUGAUGAUUGGGUAUUCACACUAUUACGUGAGAUGUGCCCCCCUCAACCUUUGUUACAGUAUCGGCACAUUACCCAUCCGACG
Small nucleolar RNA from Diceros bicornis minor, 104 nucleotides. RefSeq annotates it as small nucleolar RNA U13. The record is from RefSeq and is a predicted model, not a curated record. Lineage: Eukaryota; Metazoa; Chordata; Mammalia; Perissodactyla; Rhinocerotidae. The transcript has a single exon.